This 457-nucleotide ribosomal RNA is filed under the name uncultured bacterium. Its description in RNAcentral is "bacterial SSU rRNA". It matches the Rfam family "Bacterial small subunit ribosomal RNA", at positions 28 to 507 of the family's 1533-position model. The record is from RNAcentral.
GACGAACGCUGGCGGCGUGCUUAACACAUGCAAGUCGAACGGGAGUAUUGAAGAAGCUUGCUUUAGAGAUACUUUAGUGGCGGACGGGUGAGUAACGCGUGAGGAGCUAGUCCUAUGCAGGGGGACAACAGCUGGAAACGGCUGCUAAUACCCCAUAAGCCGAGAGGUAAAAGGAUCAAUCCGGCAGAGGAGGUACUCGCGUCCUAUCAGCUAGUAGGUGAGGUAACGGCUCACCUAGGCGAAGACGGGUAGCCGGCCUGAGAGGGCGAACGGCCACACUGGAACUGAGAUACGGUCCAGACUCCUACGGGAGGCAGCAGUGGGGAAUAUUGGGCAAUGGGGGAAACCCUGACCCAGCGACGCCGCGUGGGUGAAGAAAUCCUUCGGGAUGUAAAGCCCUGUUGUAUGGGAAGAGCGGAAGACGGUACCAUACGAGGAAGCCCCGGCAAACUACGUG